GCACCAGAAGUAGCUAGCCUAACUGCAAAGAGGGCGGUUACCACGGUGUGGCCGAUGACUGGGGUGAAGUCGUAACAAGGUAGCCGUAGGGGAACCUGCGGCUGGAUCACCUCCUUAACGAA
Molecule: ribosomal RNA, 122 nt
Filed under: Acinetobacter baumannii
Lineage: Bacteria; Pseudomonadati; Pseudomonadota; Gammaproteobacteria; Moraxellales; Moraxellaceae
Description: partial 16S ribosomal RNA
Rfam family: Bacterial small subunit ribosomal RNA
Source: RNAcentral